Molecule: ribosomal RNA, 124 nt
Filed under: Clostridioides difficile
Lineage: Bacteria; Bacillati; Bacillota; Clostridia; Peptostreptococcales; Peptostreptococcaceae
Description: partial 16S ribosomal RNA
Rfam family: Bacterial small subunit ribosomal RNA
Source: RNAcentral
GCCCGAAGCCGAUUAUCUAACCUUUUGGAAGAAGUCGNNGNAGGNGGAAUCAAUAACUGGGGUGAAGUCGUAACAAGGUAGCCGUAGCGGAAGGUGCGGCUGGAUCACCUCCUUUCUAAGGAGA